This 2665-nucleotide long non-coding RNA is filed under the name Olea europaea subsp. europaea. The record is from RNAcentral. Lineage: Eukaryota; Viridiplantae; Streptophyta; Magnoliopsida; Lamiales; Oleaceae.
GUCUCUUUCAACCUGAUCUAUUUAUCCCUCACAUAUGCCAUUAGCUGUUUCUUGAAAGUGUGUGUGAGGAAAAAGGCUACUAUCUUGAUGUGUUCGUGUUCAACCAUUGUUUCCUUUUUUCUUCUUCCUCUUUUUGUGAUAUUGCUAUCACUACCUUGAUCCUUCGUGUGCUAGUAAAAGGGCAAUUGGAGUGGGUGUAGAGGCAACCGAAGUGGAAGUUGUAUUUCAGGUUUUUGAGCCUCAUUCGAUUGGUGAUUAUUUUUGGUUUAAAUUGAGCCCAAUUUUACAAGAUUGAAGUGUAUUUCACUUACGAUUGAGUGAAAUCUGUGAAAAAACUUAUGCAAAACCACUAAAAACUAGCCAUAAAUCGAUUAAAUAGAAGCAGGAUGAAAGUUGUUGAAGGAGUACAAAACUGAUGUAACUAUUUUGUGUUUUCCAGUCAAACCAGAGGCCGAUUGGAAAAACCAAAACCACGGUCGUGCUCAACAGGUCAAGGCACACCUAUCAAGUCGAUGCAAGACAAUUACACAUUAAACAUUUUUGGUGCAAUUGCUUGAAGAUAGUUUGUUCCUUGAUGCUUUAGUGUGAAUAAUGGUGGGUCUAAAGCAGUAAAGCAUAAGAUUCACAUCUCCCCUUAUUUACGGACCGACAAAUUGGUCCACUGGUAUCGUGUUCUUUCUCUAUUAUUAUUGCGGUUAAGGUUAUUGUAUGGGAUAGUUAUUUACUUUUCACAUUAGAAGUCAUCGUGUAGGGGUAACAUUAGGUUUAGGGUCACCAUAUGGGAGUCUUGUCUGUUACUUGUGGUCAUUGAUUGUUUGCAUUUUGUGUUUUGUGCACUUUUUAGUAAAAUGACAACACGUUUUGAGUUAAGUAUUUUUAAUAGCAAAAGUUAUUUUUCAUUUUGGCAACAAAAGUUGAAAGAUCGAAUUUACGGUAGAUCUAAAUCAGGAGUAAAAGGUAAAGAUGUUAUAACUGUCGUCAAAUCUAGACACUUAAUAAGAGAUUGCCCUAAUGAGAAUAAUAAGUAAAAAGAAGAGGCGGAGAGGUAAGGUAAAUGUUGCCCUCCAUCUAGUUAUGACAUGCGUGAUGUUUAUUGAUAAUAAAUAUGAUUACUACUUCCAUAUUUGUGUGAAAUCCCAUUUGCAUGAAUGAUUACUUGACUCGAUGCAUUAUUUUAUGUUACAUUUCUAGAUAGUUUAUAUGUAUUUUUUAUGAAUUUGAGAGUGAUCUUAUUACCGUGUGUAAUGUGUUUGCAUGCAUAGUAGUUGGGAUGCAUUAGCAAUAAGUACGUCUAUUGAUAAUAUAGAGUAUGGAUGCCUGAGGGUACAUUCGUGAUAUGUACGAAAAGUACGGAGAUGAUAUUUGGAUUACAAGUGGAAAUGUGAUUAUAUAUUUGGAAUCCUCUAUCUAUGAGAAUCCUGAUCGGGUGAAAACAAAUAAUCCACUUAGGUUGAAAGAGGUGAGAUAAUGAUACGGGAACAUCCCAUGGACUUAGGAUCUAUAGUGGUUUAUCAGUUAGAUAUGAGUAGUGAUUAGUCUAGUGAGCAUGAUUCGCGAUGAGAGGAGAUAUGUGUUUUUGAUAUGCGAGCUACAUAUAAUAGGGCAGGAUAAUUGUGGUGAGAUUUUUUCGUGGGAUUAUUUAUGCAUUUGUUGUAUAUGUUGUCCGUAUUGAUAGAUUAACUUGGAGUUAGUCUAAUGUUCUUUGCUUAGUGAACAUAUUUGAAAAUAUCUGUGUAUUAUCAUAUAUCAUAUCAUCAUCAAAUGUGUUUAUACACUCUUAAUUGAUUAAUGUGAUUAUCUGUUUCUGCUUGGAUUUCCUUGACAUUAGCGCUUGUGGGUAUAUAGAGUAGGUAUAUUAUGUGUUUUAGGUUCUAGAAAUGAGGUAACGUUUAUUAGAUAUCAAUGUGGAGAUUUGUUGAAUUUUGAUAUCCGAUAGAUUUGAACAACGAUAUUAAAACGUUGUUGGGAUAAUUAUAUCAACACCAUAGUGAUUAGCUCGACCCAAAAAUAAAUUGGGCCAUUGAAAGCAGCAUAAUUAAUUAAGGUUUUUCAUGGCCCAAAUUCACUUGAGGAUGACCCAUUUCUGUUGGCCCAAUUGUGCUUAGGUUUGGUUAUGGUAUGUUGGCUUUUAUCCUUGAUUUGUUGGUCCAUUUAGGCCUUAUCUUGGCAAUUUUGCUUGUGGCUCAUUUAUGAAGGUUUGGCCCAUGUUUCUUUAAACGUAAUCUAUUUAUCCCUCACAUAUGCCAUUUAGCCAUUUUCUCAUGUGCGCGCGCAAUAGAUUGUGAGAGAACCGUCUUGGUGUGUUUGUAUUUAUCCGUUGCUUCAUUUUUUUUUUCUUCUUCCUCCCUUUGUGAUAUUGCUAUCACCACCUUGAUCCUUUGAAGGUUAGUACGAGGACAAUUGGAGAAGGUGUAAAAGCAACUGAAGUGGAAGUUGUGUUUCUGGUUUUCGAGCCUCAUUCGAUUGGUGAUUAUUGUUGGUUUAAAUUGAGUCCGAUUUUCACAAGAUUGAAGUGUAUUCCGCUUACAAUUUUCUUGCAUAAUAAAAUUUUAUGGUCUCAACUUGAGUAAUUGGGAUGAAUAAAUAAAGAGAUAAAUACAAUUAAUAAAAUUUUAUGUGUCUACUUGAUGAGAUUGUUAGAAUAUAAUUAAUACUUAGUUCCCUA